Molecule: ribosomal RNA, 500 nt
Filed under: uncultured bacterium
Lineage: Bacteria
Description: partial 16S ribosomal RNA
Rfam family: Bacterial small subunit ribosomal RNA
Source: RNAcentral
AUUGAACGCUGGCGGCAUGCCUUACACAUGCAAGUCGAACGGCAGCACGGGAGCAAUCCUGGUGGCGAGUGGCGAACGGGUGAGUAAUAUAUCGGAACGUGCCCAGUCGUGGGGGAUAACGCAGCGAAAGCUGUGCUAAUACCGCAUACGAUCUAUGGAUGAAAGCGGGGGAUCGCAAGACCUCGCGCGAUUGGAGCGGCCGAUAUCAGAUUAGCUAGUUGGUGGGGUAAAGGCCCACCAAGGCGACGAUCUGUAGCUGGUCUGAGAGGACGACCAGCCACACUGGAACUGAGACACGGUCCAGACUCCUACGGGAGGCAGCAGUGGGGAAUUUUGGACAAUGGGCGCAAGCCUGAUCCAGCAAUGCCGCGUGCAGGAUGAAGGCCUUCGGGUUGUAAACUGCUUUUGUACGGAGCGAAACGGCCUGCCCUAAUACGGUGGGCUAAUGACGGUACCGUAAGAAUAAGCACCGGCUAACUACGUGCCAGCCGCCGCCGUAA